Molecule: transfer RNA, 102 nt
Filed under: Nitrospira sp.
Lineage: Bacteria; Pseudomonadati; Nitrospirota; Nitrospiria; Nitrospirales; Nitrospiraceae
Description: tRNA-OTHER
Source: RNAcentral
GGAAAGGUUCCCCCGCCUGGGGAGCAUACGAGGGGGCUGGCCCCCUCAGUAGGAGCGUGAGCAGCCAGCGACCGCGACUUCGAAUGCCCGCCCUCUCCGCCA